AGGACGAACGCUGGCGGCGUGCUUAACACAUGCAAGUCGAGCGGAAAGGCCCUUCGGGGUACUCGAGCGGCGAACGGGUGAGUAACACGUGAGUAAUCUGCCCCUAGCUCUGGGAUAGCUCCGGGGAACCGGGAUUAAUACCAGAUACGACCACUUUAGACAUCUGCUGUGGUGGAAAGAAUUUCGGCUAGGGAUGAGCUCGCGGCCUAUCAGCUUGUUGGUGAGGUAACGGCUCACCAAGGCGACGACGGGUA
This 254-nucleotide ribosomal RNA is filed under the name uncultured bacterium. Its description in RNAcentral is "partial small subunit ribosomal RNA". It matches the Rfam family "Bacterial small subunit ribosomal RNA", at positions 26 to 285 of the family's 1533-position model. The record is from RNAcentral.